ACUGACGCUGAGGUACGAAAGCAUGGGGAGCAAACAGGAUUAGAUACCCUGGUAGUCCAUGCCGUAAACGAUGUCUACUAGCCGUUGGGGCCUUUGAGGCUUUAGUGGCGCAGCUAACGCGAUAAGUAGACCGCCUGGGGAGUACGGUCGCAAGACUAAAACUCAAAUGAAUUGACGGGGGCCCGCACAAGCGGUGGAGCAUGUGGUUUAAUUCGAUGCAACGCGAAGAACCUUACCUGGCCUUGACAUACUAGAAACUUUCCAGAGAUGGAUUGGUGCCUUCGGGAAUCUAGAUACAGGUGCUGCAUGGCUGUCGUCAGCUCGUGUCGUGAGAUGUUGGGUUAAGUCCCGCAACGAGCGCAACCCUUUUCCUUACUUGCCAGCAUUUCGGAUGGGAACUUUAAGGAUACUGCCAGUGACAAACUGGAGGAAGGCGGGGACGACGUCAAGUCAUCAUGGCCCUUACGGCCAGGGCUACACACGUGCUACAAUGGUCGGUACAAAGGGUUGCU
Molecule: ribosomal RNA, 512 nt
Filed under: uncultured bacterium
Lineage: Bacteria
Description: bacterial SSU rRNA
Rfam family: Bacterial small subunit ribosomal RNA
Source: RNAcentral